AGCAGCCGCGGUAAUUCCAGCUCCAAUAGCGUAUAUUAAAGUUGUUGCAGUUAAAAGCUCGUAGUUGAAUUUCGGGGUCAGUAGGUUGGUCAUGCCACUGGUAUGUACUGAUCUUACUGAUUCCUCCUUCCUGAUGAACCGUAAUGCCAUUAAUUUGGUGUUGCGGGGAGACUGGACUGUUACUUUGAAAAAUUAGAGUGUUAAAGCAGGCUAACGCUUGAAUACAUUAGCAUGGAAUAAUGAAAUAGGACGUUCGAUCCUAUUUUGUUGGUUUCUAGGAUAGACGUAAUGAUUAAUAGGGGCAGUUGGGGGGCAUUAGUAUUCAAUUGUCAGAGGUGAAAUUCUUGGAUUUAUUGAAGACUAACUGCUGCGAAAGCAUUUGCCAAGGAUGUUUUCAUUAAUCAAGAACGAAAGUUAGGGGAUCGAGACGAUCAGAUACCGUCGUAGUCUUAACCAUAAACUAUGCCGACUAGGGAUCGGAUGAUGUUAAUUUUUUUAAUGACUCAUUCGGCGCCUACGG
RNAcentral lists this ribosomal RNA (520 nucleotides) under uncultured Glomus. RNAcentral's name for it is "SSU rRNA". It matches the Rfam family "Eukaryotic small subunit ribosomal RNA", at positions 569 to 1092 of the family's 1831-position model. Lineage: Eukaryota; Fungi; Glomeromycota; Glomeromycetes; Glomerales; Glomeraceae. The record is from RNAcentral.